This 283-nucleotide ribosomal RNA is filed under the name uncultured Streptococcus sp. RNAcentral's name for it is "partial 16S ribosomal RNA". It matches the Rfam family "Bacterial small subunit ribosomal RNA", at positions 1098 to 1382 of the family's 1533-position model. The record is from RNAcentral. Lineage: Bacteria; Bacillati; Bacillota; Bacilli; Lactobacillales; Streptococcaceae.
GCAACCCCUAUUGUUAGUUGCCAUCAUUCAGUUGGGCACUCUAGCGAGACUGCCGGUAAUAAACCGGAGGAAGGUGGGAUAGACGUCAAGUCAUCAUGCCCCUUAUGACCUGGGCUACACACGUGCUACAAUGGUUGGUACAACGAGUUGCGAGUCGGUGACGGCGAGCUAAUCUCUUAAAGCCAAUCUCAGUUCGGAUUGUAGGCUGCAACUCGCCUACAUGAAGUCGGAAUCGCUAGUAAUCGCGGAUCAGCACGCCGCGGUGAAUACGUUCCCGGGCCUU